Non-coding RNA from Caretta caretta (loggerhead turtle), 847 nucleotides. NCBI's taxonomy places the organism in Eukaryota, Metazoa, Chordata, Testudines, Cheloniidae. The record is from the annotation of a RefSeq genome assembly.
ACCACUUACUCCUAGCCCAGCAACGCACCGACUGUCCCCGGCUGCCUGUGGGGUGGGUGCCAGUGAGCUGAGGAUUAUUUGGAGCCUAUCAGAGGCAUCCAGAUUUGCAUUCAGGAUGUCUGCUCACACCACAGGGUUUAAGAAGCAAGCGGAGAAGGCACCACUGAAUUCAGAGACCGCUCUGGCUGGGAUGUGCUGUUCCUAGGAUGGCUUGGGUCACCACUCUGCUCGUUCUGGUAGCCUGUUGGGCAGGCUCCAGCUGCCAGUUAACUUUGACUCAGCCACUCACUAUGUCAGUGACUCCAGGAGAAACUGCCCAACUCGCAUGUGUUCUGAGCAGUGGAUACAGCAUCAGCAAUGCCUACAUACGCUGGUACCAGCAGAAGCAAGGGGAGAAACCAAGAUACCUGCUGAAUUACAAGGAUGACUCUACCCAGCAUAAAGGCUCUGGUGUCCCUGACAGGUUCACUGCCUCUAAAGACCCUUCCAGGAACACCUGCUUUUUAACUAUCAGCAGGGCUGAAGGGGAGGACGAUGCUGAUUACUACUGCUCAGACUGGGAUGAGAGCACAUCUAACCAGUACACAGUGAUACAGCUGCAUAGAGAAGAGGAACAAAACCCUCCUCUCACCCAUAGUGACACAGUGCCUGGAGCCCAUCUGCGUGUCUCUUGUUCCUUUGAGAUGCCCCGGUCGAUUGGCUCCUGGCUAAAUGUGAUCUCCAAUUCCUGUCAGUCCUCAUUGCCUUACAAAGCUAUGGCCUUUACUGACACAACCUCACUGGCCUGAUGGAGAGACUGUGUUAAAGACAGUAAGGAAAUCAAACCAGGGCACGAGGGAUCACAGCC